Molecule: ribosomal RNA, 397 nt
Filed under: uncultured bacterium
Lineage: Bacteria
Description: partial 16S ribosomal RNA
Rfam family: Bacterial small subunit ribosomal RNA
Source: RNAcentral
AUACGUAGGUGGCAAGCGUUGUCCGGAAUUAUUGGGCGUAAAGCGCGCGCAGGCGGUCCUUUAAGUCUGAUGUGAAAGCCCACGGCUCAACCGUGGAGGGUCAUUGGAAACUGGGGGACUUGAGUGCAGAAGAGGAAAGUGGAAUUCCAAGUGUAGCGGUGAAAUGCGUAGAGAUUUGGAGGAACACCAGUGGCGAAGGCGACUUUCUGGGCUGUAACUGACGCUGAGGCGCGAAAGCGUGGGGAGCAAACAGGAUUAGAUACCCUGGUAGUCCACGCCGUAAACGAUGAGUGCUAAGUGUUAGGGGGUUUCCGCCCCUUAGUGCUGCAGCUAACGCAUUAAGCACUCCACCUGGGGAGUACGGUCGCAAGACUGAAACUCAAAUGAAUUGGCGGGG